This 253-nucleotide ribosomal RNA is filed under the name uncultured bacterium. RNAcentral describes it as "partial 16S ribosomal RNA". It matches the Rfam family "Bacterial small subunit ribosomal RNA", at positions 524 to 776 of the family's 1533-position model. The record is from RNAcentral.
UACGUAGGGCGCGAGCGUUGUCCGGAUUUAUUGGGCGUAAAGGGCUUGUAGGCGGCUUGUCGCGUCGGAUGUGAAAACCCGUGGCUCAACUGCGGGCCUGCAUUCGAUACGGGCUGGCUAGAGUACGGCAGGGGAGACUGGAAUUCCUGGUGUAGCGGUGGAAUGCGCAGAUAUCAGGAGGAACACCGGUGGCGAAGGCGGGUCUCUGGACAGUUCCUGACACUGAGGCACGAAGGCCAGGGGAGCAAACGGG